UGACAAAAAAUGAAAAAGGAGUUUUAACUCCUUCGAAUAAAUUCAUCAAGCGAAUAAAGAAUACUCCGGAUUUGCAUGACGAAAGUUUGGCCAGAGAAUAUUUCAAUGAAAAUGAGUGAAGCGUAAAUUUACUAUUGACAAUUUAUAAUACAUAUAUUUCGUACAGUUCACGAGGAAUAUCUGCUAAAACCUGUGACCCUCAAUGAAUUCAAAGUGAAUUCUAAGUUUCGAGUUUCAACCACUUGUAACAUCUGAUAAGGUAAGACACCUAAACAAUUUUUUUUUCGAUAAAUUCAUUUUUGAUUUUUAACUUCAGUUAGAAUUGUUAAUGAAGAGAAAUAUAGACGGUCUCGUUCUAAUUACAUAUGGAUCUGGCAACAUUCCCACAAAUGACAAAUUCAUUCAAAUCCUUAAGGAUGCUGUAGAAAGUGGCAUUAUCAUUGUAAAUGUUAGCAAGUGUCAUCAUGGUUCUGUAAAUCCCACUUACGAAACAGGAAUGAUUUGCGAGGAUAUUGGUAUUCUGCCAG
Long non-coding RNA from Nicrophorus vespilloides, 527 nucleotides. RefSeq lists it as uncharacterized. The record is from RefSeq and is a predicted model, not a curated record. Lineage: Eukaryota; Metazoa; Arthropoda; Insecta; Coleoptera; Silphidae. The transcript has 3 exons.